AUCUUGGACAAUGGGCGAAAGCCUGAUCCAGCCAUGCCGCGUGAGUGAUGAAGGCCUUAGGGUUGUAAAGCUCUUUCGCCAGGGAAGAUAAUGACGGUACCUGGAUAAGAAGCCCCGGCUAACUUCGUGCCAGCAGCCGCGGUAAUACGAAGGGGGCUAGCGUUGUUCGGAAUUACUGGGCGUAAAGCGCACGUAGGCGGAUUGGCAAGUUAGGGGUGAAAUCCCGGGGCUCAACCCCGGAACUGCCUUUAAAACUGCCGGUCUAGAGUUCGAGAGAGGUGAGUGGAAUUCCGAGUGUAGAGGUGAAAUUCGUAGAUAUUCGGAGGAACACCAGUGGCGAAGGCGGCUCACUGGCUCGAUACUGACGCUGAGGUGCGAAAGCGUGGGGAGCAAACAGG
RNAcentral lists this ribosomal RNA (398 nucleotides) under uncultured bacterium. Its description in RNAcentral is "bacterial SSU rRNA". It matches the Rfam family "Bacterial small subunit ribosomal RNA", at positions 361 to 776 of the family's 1533-position model. The record is from RNAcentral.